This 465-nucleotide ribosomal RNA is filed under the name uncultured bacterium. RNAcentral's name for it is "bacterial SSU rRNA". It matches the Rfam family "Bacterial small subunit ribosomal RNA", at positions 338 to 795 of the family's 1533-position model. The record is from RNAcentral.
CCUACGGGGUGCAGCAGUGGGGAAUAUUGCACAAUGGGCGCAAGCCUGAUGCAGCCAUGCCGCGUGUAUGAAGAAGGCCUUCGGGUUGUAAAGUACUUUCAGCGGGGAGGAAGGGAGUAAAGUUAAUACCUUUGCUCAUUGACGUUACCCGCAGAAGAAGCACCGGCUAACUCCGUGCCAGCAGCCGCGGUAAUACGGAGGGUGCAAGCGUUAAUCGGAAUUACUGGGCGUAAAGCGCACGCAGGCGGUUUGUUAAGUCAGAUGUGAAAUCCCCGGGCUCAACCUGGGAACUGCAUCUGAUACUGGCAAGCUUGAGUCUCGUAGAGGGGGGUAGAAUUCCAGGUGUAGCGGUGAAAUGCGUAGAGAUCUGGAGGAAUACCGGUGGCGAAGGCGGCCCCCUGGACGAAGACUGACGCUCAGGUGCGAAAGCGUGGGGAGCAAACAGGAUUAGAUACCCGCGUAGUC